RNAcentral lists this ribosomal RNA (330 nucleotides) under Triticum aestivum (bread wheat). RNAcentral's name for it is "partial small subunit ribosomal RNA". Lineage: Eukaryota; Viridiplantae; Streptophyta; Magnoliopsida; Poales; Poaceae. The record is from RNAcentral.
CUGAAGUUCACAUAUGUGUUGGCUGGCUGGGAAGGAUCAACACAUGAUGUUAAUAUUCUCAGUGACAACAUGAGUCGUCAUGAUGGCAUCAACAUCCCCAAUGGUAAGUUCUACCUAGGGGAUGCUGACUAUGCAUGUCGGCCAGGUGUUCUUCUACCCUUUAGGAAAACCAUGUACCAUCUGAACGAGUUCUCUAGUAGGAACUAUCCUAGGACUCCCCAGGAACUGUUCAAUCUCGGACACUCCAGCCUUAGAGUUACCGUUGAGAGGGACUUUGGAGCUCUGAAGAACAAGUUUAAGAUCAUGGAUCAGAAGCCAUUCCACCCUUAG